CGGCUGUCCGCCGAUUAAAGUGGCACGCGAGCUGGGUUUAGAACGUCGUAAGACAGUUCGGUCCCUAUCUGGUAUGGGCGUAGGAUAUUUGAGAGACGCUGCCCCUAGUAUGAGAAGACCGGGGUGGAUGUACCUCUAGUGAACCAGUUGUCACGCCAGUGGCACCGCUGGGUAGCUAUGUGCAGAACGGAGAAACGCUGAAAGCAUCUAAGCGUGAAACCAUCCUCAAGAUAAGAUAUCCCACAACGUUAAGUUGGUAAGGCUCCUUCGAGAUAAGAAGGUUGAUAGGCCAGGUGUGUACGCCGUGUGAGCGGCUCAGCUAACUGGUACUAAUAAGCCGAGGGCUUGAUAAUUCCU
This 357-nucleotide ribosomal RNA is filed under the name Candidatus Poribacteria bacterium. RNAcentral describes it as "bacterial LSU rRNA". It matches the Rfam family "Bacterial large subunit ribosomal RNA", at positions 2574 to 2925 of the family's 2925-position model. Lineage: Bacteria; Candidatus Poribacteria. The record is from RNAcentral.